RNAcentral lists this ribosomal RNA (489 nucleotides) under uncultured bacterium. RNAcentral's name for it is "bacterial SSU rRNA". It matches the Rfam family "Bacterial small subunit ribosomal RNA", at positions 28 to 530 of the family's 1533-position model. The record is from RNAcentral.
GAUGAACGCUGGCGGCGUGCUUAACACAUGCAAGUCGAACGGUAAGGCCCUUCGGGGUACACGAGUGGCGAACGGGUGAGUAACACGUGGGUGAUCUGCCCUGCACUUCGGGAUAAGCUUGGGAAACUGGGUCUAAUACCGGAUAGGACCACGGUCUGCAUGGAUUGUGGUGGAAAGCUUUUGCGGUGUGGGAUGGGCCCGCGGCCUAUCAGCUUGUUGGUGGGGUGAUGGCCUACCAAGGCGACGACGGGUAGCCGGCCUGAGAGGGUGUCCGGCCACACUGGGACUGAGAUACGGCCCAGACUCCUACGGGAGGCAGCAGUGGGGAAUAUUGCACAAUGGGCGCAAGCCUGAUGCAGCGACGCCGCGUGGGGGAUGACGGCCUUCGGGUUGUAAACCUCUUUCAGCAGGGACGAAGGGUGACUGACGGUACCUGUAGAAGAAGCACCGGCCAACGUACGUGCCAGCAGCCGCGGUAAUUAGUCUACG